GUUCUGGUGGCGUAGCCCGGUAGCGCGCCCCGCUCACAGUACUUGCUUAGAACCGGGGAGGUCGCGAGUUCAAGUCUCGCCUGGAACA
Molecule: transfer RNA, 88 nt
Filed under: Lodderomyces parapsilosis
Lineage: Eukaryota; Fungi; Ascomycota; Pichiomycetes; Serinales; Debaryomycetaceae
Also listed under: 1 other name
Description: tRNA-Val
Rfam family: tRNA
About the family: Transfer RNA (tRNA) molecules are approximately 80 nucleotides in length. Their secondary structure includes four short double-helical elements and three loops (D, anti-codon, and T loops). Further hydrogen bonds mediate the characteristic L-shaped molecular structure. tRNAs have two regions of fundamental functional importance: the anti-codon, which is responsible for specific mRNA codon recognition, and the 3' end, to which the tRNAs corresponding amino acid is attached (by aminoacyl-tRNA synthetases). tRNAs cope with the degeneracy of the genetic code in two manners: having more than one tRNA (with a specific anti-codon) for a particular amino acid; and 'wobble' base-pairing, i.e. permitting non-standard base-pairing at the 3rd anti-codon position.
Source: RNAcentral